AGUUCUUCGAAUCUUCCUGCACGCGAAAAUGCUCCACGGAAUCGAUGUUCACGCGUUGGACCCGAAUGUUUCAAGGGGUUGUCAAGGGCGGGGCGGGGAAUUGUACGAUCGUCCCAACAACGUUUACGUCCGUCACUUUUCGGCUAUCACUCUAUACUUUCUAUGUUACACAUGCCGGUCUGUAUGUAGAUGAACUUGGUAGACGGCUACCAUCUGGCUCGUAAAAAUAGAACGAAUUUUUUCUGAAGCGACGUAACUUUACGUCACGGAUACAUCAUUAAACGUUCGAUCUCAAAUGUUUUUCUUAUUCGGGAGCCAUCGCGUCGCGAACAGUUACGUAAAGUUCGAAUCGUUGUUGCGUCGUAAUGAUCGGUUUCCGAUUAGGGGCGAAAUUUGACGAUUGAAUCACCUAGUUACGCAUGGACCGCGUGACGUUACUCGUUGUACUAACGAAAAUGUAUUCGCAUGAUAUUUUAACAACGUUAAUGAGCCAUUAUCGAAUGUAGGUAUUGAACAUCCGAUGAAUAUAUAAUUUUCGGCAGAAAUGCUCGUAUUUCGUUUUAAUCUUGUUCCUGUCAUUUGAAGUGAUACAACUUCGUUAUGGAUGUGAUCGAAUUUUUCAGCCUCAAAUACACUACGAUUCAUCUAAAUCAGCUUACGAGCUAUUGAACUUCCCUCGCCACAAAUAUUUUAGCUAAGCAAAAGUAGAGUAAAACGUAAAUUCCUCGUAAAAUCGAUAUCAAAUUGUGUGAAAUACCUGUGAAUAAUAUUUAUAUUAUUUUAUAUGGACAUAUUGUACGAUUCGUCAAACGUUAAUGACGAAUCAAUGAUUUCAUCGAUCGUUUAUACGAUCGCUCGAUAUACAUUCACUGUAACAAUGAAAUGUUUUUUCAUUGACAAAAAUUGAUAAAUAUUACAAAAUACCAUCUUU
Long non-coding RNA from Bombus pyrosoma, 931 nucleotides. RefSeq lists it as uncharacterized. The record is from RefSeq and is a predicted model, not a curated record. The transcript is spliced from 2 exons. Lineage: Eukaryota; Metazoa; Arthropoda; Insecta; Hymenoptera; Apidae.